GAGCCAGGCACCAACACAGAGAGAGGACGGAGGAGGGAGAAUCAACAUUCACAUGUGGCGAGGCCGCGCAGAGAUCCUCGACCGACAUGCAGUGAGAACUGUGAGCUGCGAUGGAGAUGUUGGUCGUGCUCUGGAAAAAACUCUCCGAGGCUGUGCUUCGAUACGAGCCCCUUGCACGAAGGUUCCCAGCUUGAUAAGGGCCCGAGCACUGACAGAAAGUGAGGCCCUAUUGAAAUGGAUGAACAGACGGGAGCCCAGGUGAGUUUUCAAACAUUCAAGACGCUAUGAUUCUCUCUCAGUCGUACCUUCAUGCCAGCUGCAGCUGCAGGUCCACCGGGGUCCACCGCCUGGAUGUGACAGGGUUUGCUGCCUCGCACCACAAAGCCCCAGCCCACAGCAUCGCCUACAAUCUGAGGAGCAAUCAGAACACAGACCAUCUCCGCUUGGGGCCAUAGGCAAUUUGCCUAGUUUUGCCAACCCUGUUGCAACAUCCCUGCUGUCGGAAGUCUGGUGUUGUGGAUAACAUAUUCAAACAUUUGGGGUUGAAGAGGACAGGUGGGCUGCUGCUGAGCGUAGGACUGCUGCUGUAAUAACCGCUGCUGCCACAGCUGCUGCUCAUGCUGCUCCGGCGGACUCCCACCACCACCUUUAUCUCUUUAGUGGGACUCACU
Platichthys flesus (European flounder) is the source of this 671-nucleotide long non-coding RNA. RefSeq lists it as uncharacterized. NCBI's taxonomy places the organism in Eukaryota, Metazoa, Chordata, Actinopteri, Pleuronectiformes, Pleuronectidae. The transcript has 5 exons. The record is from RefSeq and is a predicted model, not a curated record.